Molecule: ribosomal RNA, 465 nt
Filed under: uncultured bacterium
Lineage: Bacteria
Description: partial 16S ribosomal RNA
Rfam family: Bacterial small subunit ribosomal RNA
Source: RNAcentral
CCUACGGGUAGCAGCAGUAGGGAAUCUUCCACAAUGGGCGAAAGCCUGAUGGAGCAACGCCGCGUGGGUGAAGAAGGUCUUCGGAUCGUAAAACCCUGUUGUUAGAGAAGAAAGUGCGUGAGAGUAACUGUUCACGUUUCGACGGUAUCUAACCAGAAAGCCACGGCUAACUACGUGCCAGCAGCCGCGGUAAUACGUAGGUGGCAAGCGUUAUCCGGAUUUAUUGGGCGUAAAGGGAACGCAGGCGGUCUUUUAAGUGUGAUGUGAAAGGCUUCGGGUUAACCGGAGUAGUGCAGGGGAAACUGGGAGACUUGAGUGCAGAAGAGGAGAGUGGAAAUCCAUGUGUAGCGGUGGAAUGCGGAGAUAUAGGGAAGAACCCCAGUGGCGAAAGCGGCGCUCUGGUCUGUAACUGACGCUGAGGUUCGAAAGCGUGGGUAGCAAACAGGAUUAGAUACCCCAGUAGUC